RNAcentral lists this ribosomal RNA (253 nucleotides) under uncultured bacterium. RNAcentral's name for it is "partial 16S ribosomal RNA". It matches the Rfam family "Bacterial small subunit ribosomal RNA", at positions 524 to 776 of the family's 1533-position model. The record is from RNAcentral.
UACGUAGGGUGCAAGCGUUAUUCGGAAUUACUGGGCGUAAAGCGUGCGCAGGCGGUUUUGUAAGUCUGUCGUGAAAUCCCCCGGCUCAACCUGGGAAUGGCGAUGGAGACUGCAAGGCUAGAAUCUGGCAGAGGGGGGUAGAAUUCCACGUGUAGCAGUGAAAUGCGUAGAGAUGUGGAGGAACACCGAUGGCGAAGGCAGCCCCCUGGGUCAAGAUUGACGCUCAUGCACGAAAGCGUCGGGAGCAAACAGG